This 253-nucleotide ribosomal RNA is filed under the name uncultured bacterium. RNAcentral's name for it is "partial 16S ribosomal RNA". It matches the Rfam family "Bacterial small subunit ribosomal RNA", at positions 524 to 776 of the family's 1533-position model. The record is from RNAcentral.
UACGUAGGCAGCGAGCGUUGUUCGGAGUUACUGGGCGUAAAGGGUGUGUAGGCGGUUGUUUAAGUUUGGUGUGAAAUCUCCCGGCUCAACUGGGAGGGUGCGCCGAAUACUGAGCGACUAGAGUGCGGGAGAGGAAAGUGGAAUUCCUGGUGUAGCGGUGAAACGCGUAGAUAUCAGGAGGAACACCGGUGGUGUAGACGGCUUUCUGGACCGUAACUGACGCUGAGACACGAAAGCGUGGGUAGCAAACAGG